AAACGACUCUCGGCAACGGAUAUCUCGGCUCUUGCAUCGAUGAAGAACGUAGCGAAAUGCGAUACUUGGUGUGAAUUGCAGAAUCCCGUGAACCAUCGAGUCUUUGAACGCAAGUUGCGCCCGAAGCCAUCAGGCCAAGGGCACGCCUGCCUGGGUGUCACA
Molecule: ribosomal RNA, 162 nt
Filed under: Swartzia sp. C BT-2015
Lineage: Eukaryota; Viridiplantae; Streptophyta; Magnoliopsida; Fabales; Fabaceae
Description: 5.8S ribosomal RNA
Rfam family: 5.8S ribosomal RNA
About the family: 5.8S ribosomal RNA (5.8S rRNA) is a component of the large subunit of the eukaryotic ribosome. It is transcribed by RNA polymerase I as part of the 45S precursor that also contains 18S and 28S rRNA.
Source: RNAcentral